This 287-nucleotide unclassified non-coding RNA is filed under the name Peniophora albobadia. RNAcentral's name for it is "partial contains 5.8S ribosomal RNA, internal transcribed spacer 2, and large subunit ribosomal RNA". Lineage: Eukaryota; Fungi; Basidiomycota; Agaricomycetes; Russulales; Peniophoraceae. The record is from RNAcentral.
CGCACCUUGCGCCCCUUGGCAUUCCGAGGGGCACGCCUGUUUGAGUGUCGUGAACUCCUCCACCCUCUACCUUUUUCGAAGGGCAUUGGGCUGGGAUUUGGGAGCUUGCAGGUCCCUGGUUGAUCUGCUCUCCUUGAAUGCAUUAGCGAAGCCCUUUGCGGCCUUGGUGUGAUAAUUAUCUGCGCCUUGGUUUAGCAAACCUAUAGGGACUUGCUUCCAACCGUCCUGCAUGGGACAAUCACUACCAACUUGACCUCAAAUCAGGCGGGACUACCCGCUGAACUUAA